Molecule: long non-coding RNA, 419 nt
Organism: Trifolium pratense (red clover)
Lineage: Eukaryota; Viridiplantae; Streptophyta; Magnoliopsida; Fabales; Fabaceae
Exons: 2
Source: RefSeq, a predicted model, not a curated record
ACACAUUUUUCUAACACUUUUGCAGGUAGUUCCUCCUCAUCAAGGCGAAGCUCCAUCAAUGAUGUACUCCAUGAGAUACGCGCCCAAAACGCACUAAAUCAAGAGCGCGAUGGAUUAUUCUAUGCCAUGCAUCAACAACAAGAGGAGAUGAUGGAACGAAUGACAUUCAUGCAAGCCCAGCAAGACGAAAUUCUUCAAAACCAACAUGAGAUGCAGGGCUAUUAUCAUAGGUUUUGUGCUCCAAAGCUACACUUGAGUCUCAACAGUGAGGACACAGUUGGAUUUAAGUUUAGGGGAGUAUUCUACCAUCCUUACUUUAUUUCUCAGUUAUUUUAUUUUUAGUACAAUUUCCCUUUUCGCAAAUAAAAUAAUAGCACUAUUUUUGGGUAAAUUUUAAAUUUUUCCUUUCCUUGAACCAA